AUCACCUGGGAACCUUCUUAAUAUGCAGAUUCUGAUUCAGAAGGUCUGGAGUGGGCCCUGGGAUUCUGCCUUUCUAAGAAGCUCCCAGGGGAUGCGAA
Molecule: microRNA precursor, 98 nt
Filed under: Callithrix jacchus (white-tufted-ear marmoset)
Lineage: Eukaryota; Metazoa; Chordata; Mammalia; Primates; Cebidae
Description: mir-544 microRNA precursor family
Rfam family: mir-544 microRNA precursor family
Source: Rfam by way of RNAcentral